This 402-nucleotide ribosomal RNA is filed under the name bacterium. RNAcentral's name for it is "partial 16S ribosomal RNA". It matches the Rfam family "Bacterial small subunit ribosomal RNA", at positions 355 to 776 of the family's 1533-position model. The record is from RNAcentral.
UGGGGAAUUUUGCACAAUGGGGGAAACCCUGAUGCAGCGACGCCGCGUGAUUUAGAAGGCCUUCGGGUUGUAAAAAUCUUUUCUAUGGGAAGAAAAUGACAGUACCAUAGGAAUAAGGACCGGCUAAUCACGUGCCAGCAGCCGCGGUAAUACGUAAGGUCCGAGCGUUGUCCGGAAUCAUUGGGCGUAAAGGGUACGUAGGCGGGUAAGCAAGUUAGAAGUGAAAUCCUAUAGCUCAACUAUAGUAAGCUUUUAAAACUGCUCAUCUUGAGGUAUGGAAGGGAAAGUGGAAUUCCUAGUGUAGCGGUGAAAUGCGCAGAUAUUAGGAGGAAUACCGGUGGCGAAGGCGACUUUCUGGCCAUAACCUGACGCUGAGGUACGAAAGCGUGGGUAGCAAACAGG